GAUGAACGCUGGCGGCGUGCCUAAUACAUGCAAGUCGAGCGAACAGACGAUGAGCUUGUGCUUCUGACGUUAGCGGCGGACGGGCGAGUAACACGUGCAUAACCUACCUAUAAUACUGGGAGAAUUUCGGGAAAACGGAGCUAAUACUGGAGAAUAUAUUGAACCGCAUGGUUCAAUAGUUAAAGAGGGCUUUUGUGACACUUAUAGAUGGAUCCGCGCCGGAUUAGCUAGUUGGUAAGGUAACGGCAUACCAAGGCGACGAUGCGUAGCCGACCUGAGAGGAUGAUCGGCCACACUGGAACUGAGACACGGUCCAGACUCCUACGGGAGGCAGCAGUAGGGAAUCUUCCGCAAUGGGCGGAAGCCUGACGCAGCAACGCCGCGUGAGUGAUGAAGGUCUUCGGAUCGUAAAACUCUGUUAUUAGGGAAGAACAACUGUGUAAGUAAACAUGCACGUUUUGACGGUACCUAAUCAAAAAGCACCGGCUAACUACGUG
Molecule: ribosomal RNA, 497 nt
Filed under: uncultured bacterium
Lineage: Bacteria
Description: partial 16S ribosomal RNA
Rfam family: Bacterial small subunit ribosomal RNA
Source: RNAcentral